CUCGUAGCCCCGCCCACUCGCCUUCCGGCAGCGGGUUCCUCCCCGCCCCGCGCGCACGCCUGCGCCUCUUCCGGUCGCGCCGGCCAAUGGCAGAGCUCCCCUAUUACAUAAGCGCGGAGGGGCGGGGCCUGGCGGCGGGGGCCGGCCGAGCGGGACGGGAACUGCAGGGGACGUUGCCUUCAGCCCAGGCGUCCUCACCUUCCCUCCAGCCUUCUCAAUGCGGGCCCCUGCUGCGGGCCCUGGGAUCAGCGUGAUCUCGGUUCUGGCAGGCGACGGCCCACAGCGUGUUUCCUAAGCCGCUCGCUCACUUACUCGGGUGGCGGCCAGACCUCAGCCCCCGCGUCCCUUCUCUCGCGCCUCCGCGGCGGUGCCCUCACGUGCGCCAGGCGGGGGAGGGGCCGGAGCGGAGCGCCAGCGCCGGGCGACGUGGGUCAGCGGCUGGGGAGCCCGCCACCCGCGCACGCUGCCGCCCCCGCCCUCGGUGAGGCCGGCGGGCCGGGCGGCCUUUAACGGGGCCGCGCCGCGCCUUUGUUCUGUCAUCAGGCGCCCUGCACCUCAUCCUCAGGGGAACCCGGUUGCUUGAGCAGCCUGAGGUUUCAGGUGAGGUCAGGACACAGCCUGGCAGCCGCAGUGAAGCCCGCUGGCUCGGCCUUCCUGGCCGGUGUAGGUGACGACGAACAAUACACCGGCUUGCUAACAGCUGGGAGAAUGGUUACGUUUGUUUUUGUGUCUUGAUUUGCGGGCCGCUGCAUUUAACUUCCAAUAUCUACCAAGAGCGGUGGUGCUUGCAAAGGCGUCUGUCUGUAUGGCUUCACAGUGCUCAAUGCUUCAGAAAGAUGGAUGAAUGAGGCCAGGUAUUAUCAUAAGCCAGGUAUUCUUAGCACCCUUGGCAUCUCCCUGUAAUUAGAGUCUCUACGUUUCAUUCCAGGUAAAGAUUACAUUCAGUUUGGUGCACAAAUCUUCAGAGUACCACGGGAUGAGUUUUGGUCUCCUUUGAAUGCCUAUAAAAUACAGAACAUUGGCAUCACCCCAUUUUCCCUUCCCUGUCCCAGUUGAUCCCUACCCCACUCCAUCAGAGGUAACUGCUCUUCUGAUUUUAUCCCCAUAGAUGGAUGGAUAAAAUGUCUGUUUUAGAACUUCGCAUAAACGAAAUUGUACAAUGUGUACUUUUGGUGAGGCUUCUUUUAGCAACAAACAUAAUAAAUUUAUUACAUGAUGUUCUACUCAAGCUAUACAGUAUUUCUUUUUUCUUGCCUCUUAUCAGCCAGCAUCUUUUUUGUUUUGACUACUAAUAAUCUUAUAUUUGUUCCACACUGAUCUAAUUUACCAAGUACUUACAAAUCAAGGUUAAAUGAAAGGAAGCAAAUUACAGAAAGAUACAUACAGAUAAUUUAUAUGUAAAUUCUUAAAAUAUAAAAUAAAAUCACAUGCAUGCUUAUUUAAUUCUCUUAACCAGAGAUUAUUUAUCCCAUUUCCCCCAUGAUAAAAUUUAGGCUAUUUGUUCUGGGCCCUGGAACUAGAUUAGAAUCCUCAUCUUGACUCAGCACACUUAUAAGUGUUCAUGUUAUUUCCCUCUUCUACCAAAUUUUCAUCAACAUAAUGUUUUUGAAAUCCAUCCAUGUUGUUGCUUGUAUAAGUUGAUCUGUUCUCUUUAUUGCUGAAUAGAAUUGCAUUAUACAGGUCAACCACAGUUUGCUUAUCCAUUCUCCUACUGAUGGACACCCAGGCUUUUUCCAGUUUUUGAUUAUUCAUAAAAACUGGAAAAAUCCCGAGUGCUGCUAUGAACAUUCUUGUUCAAGUCCUUUUAUUAACAUAUGUUUUAAUUAUGUUGGGUGAAUACAUAAGAGUGAAAUUGCUAGGUCAUAUGAUAGGUGUAUAUUUAGUUUCUAAGAAACUGCCAGGUAUUUUUCCAAAGUGGUUGUACCAUUUUACCUUCCCAAUAACAAUGUUUAAGAAUUCUGGUUGCUCCACAUCUCCAUUAACCUUUGAUGUUCUCUAGGUCUUCUAAUUUUAAUAAGGGGAUGCCAAGCUUACAUUCUGGAUAGAAGAUUGCUCAUUAAUCAAUUUUCCCUUCAUCAGAAAUAUGGGUAAAAGGCUUUUAGGCUCCUUUUACAAAAUAUCACCUAAUAUUUUCUGUUACUUAACUCUUAUAACAAAUUUAGGUAUAAGGAAUCAUAAAUAAGAAAUCAUUUCUUGAGGACAUAUAAUCCAUUCAUUCCUGUUAAAAUCCAAAUUUCAUCCCUGGGGCAGAGAACUGAGUAUUUUGGACAGCUUUUGUCCAUUGCCUCCCCAUGUCAUUGUUUUUCUUGAGUUUCACUUUAUGUUAUACUUUUAGUUUCUUUGAAGUACUAUAAAGAACAGCCACAUGGAACUCAGUACAUAUUUACUAAGGAAGUCAGGGAGACAUAAUCUAUACCAAAUAGCUCUCCCCAAUUCUCCUGUAAUUUAACACUGGGAACAUCUAGGCUUCUUUUUCCUGAGCAGUAGAUAGUUUUUGUUUGGUUGCUUGCUUGCUUAUCUUAUACUCCCUAUGACUCUUAGGACUGAUCCUUCCUCUCUUUGUUUGGUAACUAGGAAGUUUAGAAAUUACCUACCUACGUUGCCAGAAUUUCUGGUAUAUUAUACAUUUUUUUGUAUGUAACUCCUAGCUUUAUUUUACAAUAUUUUGUUUUCCUCAUCUUCCUCUCUUUACCUAUUUCAAUCCUUUUUUAUUUUGUAAAAUUCCUCAAAUAAUUCCUAGAUUAAGGUUAAAAUUAAUUAGACUCGUUUGGUACACUGUUUAAAGCACUGAUUAUUAAGAGAUUCUCACUAGUGAUAUAUAUAUUUGAAAUAGAGGUGAAACACAAGAACAGGUUAAAUACCAUUCUUUUAUAAUUACGGUAAUUAGAAUUGCUAAUCAUUUAAUAAUAGCAUUAUUCACAAUAGCGACAGGGCAGAAACAACCUAAAUGUCCAUCAAAAGAUGAAUAGGUAAACAAACUGUGGUAUAUAUUCAUAUGAUAGAAUAUUAUUCAGCCAUAAAAAAUAAUGAAUUCUAAUCACACUACAACAUGGAUGAACCUAGAAAGCAUGUUAAUAAAUAAGCCAGAUACAAAAAAGACGAGUAUUAUAUGAUUCCACUAAAUGAGGUAUAUAGAACACACAAAUUUAUAAAGACAGAAGGUGGGAUAGAAGUUAACCAGGGCUGUGAGAGUAGAGAAUGGGAAGUUAUUGCUUAGUGGUUAUAGAGCAGCGGUUCUCAAACUGUGGGUUGCGACCCUUUUGGGGUCGAACGACCCUUUCACAGGGGUCGCCUAAGACCAUCGGAAAACACAUAUAUAAUUACAUAUUGUUAUUGUGAUUAAUCACUAUGCUUUAAUUAUGUUCAAUUUGUAACAAUGAAAUUGGGGGUCACCACAACAUGAGGAACUAUGUAUUAAAGGGUCGCGGCAUUAGGAAGGUUGAGAACCAGUGUUACAGAGUUUCUGUUUGGGGUGAUGAAAGAGUUUUGGAAAUUAUAGUGGUAACAGUUACACAACAUUGCAAAUGUACUUAAUACCACUGAACUGUACACUUAAAAAUGGUUAAAAUGGUAAACUUCAUGUUAUAUAAUUUUUACCACAAUAAAAAAAAUUAAAAACAGGUUAAAUAUCAUUCUUUUGUGUUUAGGGUAAAUAGAGCUGCUAGUCUCUUAAUGGGUUGUUAGAGGUUGCCAUCCAGUUUUUCCACAAGGCAUCCUAGAACCCAUGUGAGAUAGUUGAUCAUUGUAAAGAAGAUCAUGUUUUAGUAAAGGAACAAUGUUAUAAUUGAAAAUUACGUUUAAGGGUAUAGGACCAAGGAAACAGUAUUACGUGAAUUGCAGAGAUGACCAGAAAUAUAUUGUAAGAGCCAAGACACUGUAAUAGGACUUGAGACUAUUGUGUGUGUUCAUACAUAGAGAGAGAAGGAAGUUCAGAAAGACAGCACCUGGCUUUACUAAAGGCAGGGGUGACCCAGUGCAAGGGGUCCCGAAAUCUCUAAUAUGGUUCAGAAAAAUGGUCUGUCCUGGGAGUCAGAGCAGCGGGGCAGGGAGCCUGGGAAGGGAGACAGGACAGCAGUCAGGCAGACGGUCUCCCUGUGACAUACUUCUAACCAUGACAGGCAGAGGCAGACAGGAGGUAAAUACCUGGGAGGUGAGCAUAUGAGGGCACAAGUUCCCGCCCACUGGGAGAGGCACAGGGCAGCGCUCCAGCUUCAGGGUGGAGUGAAGAUCUACUCAGUUUCAUAGAUCAAAAACUCGGAAAUAGGGUGUCAGCAAAAGUUAGCAAAAGCCUUGAGAAUAUUUAUAUCCUUCCAUGAAGAAUUUUGUUUGUAAGAACGUUAUUUCACAGAAGUAAUUACUGAGUAAAAUGAUGUUAACUAUUAGUACAUUUUUAUAAUAACUGCUUACAAAUAAAAAAUUGUGAUUAACUUAAAUGUCUAACGAUAAGGAAAUCCCUACAGCAAAAGAACAUGUAGCCAUUAAAAUUGCUGGUGUGGCCCUGACCGGUUUGGCCCCGUGGAUAGAGCAUUGGCCUGCGGACUCAAGGGUCCCAGGUUCGAUUCCGGUCAAGGGCAUGUACCUUGGUUGCAGGCACAUCCCUAGUAGGGGGUGUGCAGGAGGCAGCUGAUCGAUGCUUCUCUCUCAUCGAUGUUUCUAACUCUCUAU
This is an RNA transcript of Myotis daubentonii (Daubenton's bat), 4665 nucleotides long. RefSeq lists it as uncharacterized. The record is from RefSeq and is a predicted model, not a curated record. The transcript has 3 exons. NCBI's taxonomy places the organism in Eukaryota, Metazoa, Chordata, Mammalia, Chiroptera, Vespertilionidae.